UACGUAGGGGGCGAGCGUUUGUCCGGAAUUACUGGGCGUAAAGGGCGCGCAGGCGGCCGUGUAAGUCCGCUGUGAAAGACCGGGGCUCAACCCCGGGGUGUCAGCGGGGACUGCACGGCUGGAGUCCCGGAGAGGGAGGCGGAAUACCUGGUGUAGCGGUGGAAUGCGUAGAGAUCAGGUGGAACACCGAUGGCGAAGGCAGCUCGCUGGGACGUUACUGACACUGAGGAGCGAAAGGCGUGGGGAGCGAACAGG
RNAcentral lists this ribosomal RNA (255 nucleotides) under uncultured bacterium. Its description in RNAcentral is "partial 16S ribosomal RNA". It matches the Rfam family "Bacterial small subunit ribosomal RNA", at positions 524 to 776 of the family's 1533-position model. The record is from RNAcentral.